This 479-nucleotide ribosomal RNA is filed under the name uncultured anaerobic ammonium-oxidizing bacterium. RNAcentral describes it as "bacterial SSU rRNA". It matches the Rfam family "Bacterial small subunit ribosomal RNA", at positions 364 to 833 of the family's 1533-position model. The record is from RNAcentral.
UUUCGCAAUGCCCGAAAGGGUGACGAAGCGACGCCGCGUGGGUGAGGAAGGCCUUCGGGUUGUAAAGCCCUGUCAGGAGUUAUGAAAUGUAAGUGCGCUAAUAUCGUGCUUAUUUGACAAAGGCUCCAAAGGAAGCCACGGCUAACUCUGUGCCAGCAGCCGCGGUAAUACAGAGGUGGCGAGCGUUGUUCGGAAUUAUUGGGCGUAAAAAGCACGUAGGUGGGUUUGCAGGUCAGAUGUGAAAGCCUUCUGUUCAACGGAAGAAUUGCAUCUGAAACUGCUAAUCUUGAGUAUAGGAGGGGAGAAUGGAACUUCUGGUGGAGCGGUGAAAUGCGUAGAUAUCAGAAGGAACGCCGGCGGCGAAAGCGAUUCUCUGGCCUAUUACUGACACUCAGUGUGCGAAAGCUAGGGGAGCAAACGGGAUUAGAUACCCCGGUAGUCCUAGCCGUAAACGAUGGGCACUAAGUAGAGGGGUUUUA